Molecule: ribosomal RNA, 433 nt
Filed under: uncultured bacterium
Lineage: Bacteria
Description: partial 16S ribosomal RNA
Rfam family: Bacterial small subunit ribosomal RNA
Source: RNAcentral
AACGAACGCUGGCGGCAUGCCUAACACAUGCCAGUCGAACGAGACCUUCGGGUCUAGUGGCGCACGGGUGCGUAACGCGUGGGAACCUGCCCUUAGGUUCGGAAUAACUCCCCGAAAGGGGUGCUAAUACCGGAUAAUGUCUUCGGACCAAAGAUUUAUCGCCUUUGGAUGGGCCCGCGUUGGUUUAGCUAGUUGGUAGGGUAAAAGCCUACCAAGGCGACGAUCCAUAGCUGGUCUGAGAGGAUGAUCAGCCACACUGGGACUGAGACACGGCCCAGACUCCUACGGGAGGCAGCAGUGGGGAAUAUUGGACAAUGGGCGAAAGCCUGAUCCAGCAAUGCCGCGUGAGUGAUGAAGGCCUUAGGGUUGUAAAGCUCUUUUACCCGGGAUGAUAAUGACAGUACCGGGAGAAUAAGCUCCGGCUAACUCCGUG